GGAUCCCAUCGUUUUUGCUUGUAACCGUUUCACAGAAAGGUGACAGGUGCUCUUGAGUAGACCUUUCAGAUGUUUACACAUGCGGUGAUCAGUUCCUCCAAAGAGAUAGUUCCUCUCGGUUUAUAGUAUUUGAGAUGAAAUCAUACCCUUUAAAAAAAGGAGAAAACUGCUGAACUAAGGGGGUUGGCAAAGUAAUGUCACAUGGGUCAUUUUGUUUUAUUGUUAACCUGUAUCUUUCAUAUAACACUUCUGUGCCUUUAACAACGUCUAACUUUGAAUGCAAGGCUUUGGCUUGCGAUGCAGUGUUUGUAUUCUCUGCUUGAAGUUCAUUGUACAACUAUUUUUAUCGAUGUCUGCGUUGUGAUUAUACAUAGAACCAUAGCAAACAGAAGCUGGGAAAAGCGUCAGAUGAAUCCAUUUAUUAUUCCCAGAGCUAACAGCAGAAAGUACAGCAACAACUACCCUCUGUUCAUGGAACCACACCGGUGAUAUUUUGCACAUUGCGGAUAUAAACACACUAGCAAAGCGCAGUGAUCACUCCAUGCAAGGCAAAUAUGCGGUUUUUUUUAAUGAAAAUACACUAAUCGCUGUAGUCUUUUGAAACAUCUCAAGGUAACAGUGUUCUUCAGCCUCAGCAGUGCAACAAACCAGAGGUCUGGUUUUUGGGGGACUUCCUGGUUGUCUUCCUCCAACCCCCGCAAUCACGAGUCCACGCGGUUCCCGUUUGCGCAUUGGCUCCGAUAACAAAAAGGCACGUUCGUUCGUUGUCCGCCACCAAGAAAUACUGCCAGGAGCUCCGCAUUAGAUCAAAUUGAUGGGUUGGUGUUUUUUUUUGACGCUGCGGGUGCACGGCGGCCGCUCUUCACAGCUGUCCGUUGCGUCUGCGCGCGUACCAGCCGAGGAAGGCGCAGACGCCCACCACCGCCAGGACGGUGCCCAGGAGCAGGGCCAAAGCGUCGCCCGCGUCGUAAGCCUCCGCCGGCCGGACCAGGGACAGAAGCGCCAGGCAGGCGGCCGUCGCGGCGUGUCCGAGUUCAACUUUGGGAUACAUUGUUGCGCGUCGCGGCGGUUGUUGCUGUUGACUUCCGGAGGGGGGGGGGGGGGGGAGAAAGUCCCUGCGUCGGAACGGAAGCACGUGACGGCAACUUCCUGACGUGGCCAGCCAAUGGCGG
Gasterosteus aculeatus aculeatus (three-spined stickleback) is the source of this 1172-nucleotide long non-coding RNA. The record is from Ensembl. Lineage: Eukaryota; Metazoa; Chordata; Actinopteri; Perciformes; Gasterosteidae.